CCCCUAGAUGUUCUGGGCCGCACGCGCGCUACACUGAACAGUUCAACAAGUCUUAACCUUGGCCGAUAGGUCUGGGUAAUCUUUGAACGCUGUUCGUGAUUGGGAUAGACCUUUGCAAUUAUGGGUCUUCAACGAGGAAUUCCUGGUAAACGCAAGUCAUCAGCUUGCAUUGAUUACGUCCCUGCCCUUUGUACACACCGCCCGUCGCACCUACCGAUUGAAUGGUCCGGUGAAAUCUCGGGACGGCGGCUUGGUCGCUUGCGUCCGACUGCUGAAACUUGAUUAAACCAUAUCAUUUAGAGGAAGGUGAANUCGUAACA
This 320-nucleotide ribosomal RNA is filed under the name uncultured eukaryote. RNAcentral's name for it is "partial 18S ribosomal RNA". It matches the Rfam family "Eukaryotic small subunit ribosomal RNA", at positions 1470 to 1796 of the family's 1831-position model. The record is from RNAcentral.